UGCGGCGUGCCUAAUACAUGCAAGUCGUACGCUAGCCGCUGAAUUGAUCCUUCGGGUGAAGUGAGGCAAUGACUAGAGUGGCGAACUGGUGAGUAACACGUAAGAAACCUGCCCUUUAGUGGGGGAUAACAUUUGGAAACAGAUGCUAAUACCGCGUAACAACAAAUCACACAUGUGAUCUGUUUGAAAGGUCCUUUUGGAUCGCUAGAGGAUGGUCUUGCGGCGUAUUAGCUUGUUGGUAGGGUAGAAGCCUACCAAGGCAAUGAUGCGUAGCCGAGUUGAGAGACUGGCCGGCCACAUUGGGACUGAGACACUGCCCAAACUCCUACGGGAGGCUGCAGUAGGGAAUUUUCCGCAAUGCACGAAAGUGUGACGGAGCGACGCCGCGUGUGUGAUGAAGGCUUUCGGGUCGUAAAGCACUGUUGUAAGGGAAGAAUAACUGAAUUCAGAGAAAGUUUUCAGCUUGACGGUACCUUACCAGAAAGGGAUGGCUAAAUACGUGCCAGCAGCCGCGGUAAUACGUAUGUCCCGAGCGUUAUCCGGAUUUAUUGGGCGUAAAGCGAGCGCAGACGGUUUAUUAAGUCUGAUGUGAAAUCCCGAGGCCCAACCUCGGAACUGCA
RNAcentral lists this ribosomal RNA (620 nucleotides) under Oenococcus oeni. Its description in RNAcentral is "bacterial SSU rRNA". It matches the Rfam family "Bacterial small subunit ribosomal RNA", at positions 38 to 625 of the family's 1533-position model. Lineage: Bacteria; Bacillati; Bacillota; Bacilli; Lactobacillales; Lactobacillaceae. The record is from RNAcentral.